UUAUGAUUUCAUGUCAUUCAUAUUCUUUUUCAAUAGAAGAACGAAAAAUCAGAUUUUUCCUCUUAAUUUUUAGUAUUUUUAAUUGAAUUUGAAUUUUUCAUUAGGAAAAGUUAAAAAUCAGGAGAAAAAAUCUGAUUUGUCAUUCUCUUAUUAGAAAUGAAUAAAAAUGACGUGGAAUCACAGUUUUAUACGAUCCAUACUCUUUGACCGACAUACAUAUGCAUAUAUAUUGGCAAGCUAAUAUUCGUUUUACAUGUUUUUUUCUGGUUACUGAUUAGUAUUUCUUGGUCCAUGACAGUGUGUUGGCAGCUCAACUUGCCGGCAAUACAUAGUCUGCUGGCGUAUUGACACAGUUUGUCAGGUGCGGAGUUAGCGAUGACUGAGCUAGCCGAAGUGCGUCGUUACAUGGAGAGCAGUGGCACGUAUCUAGGAAAAGUUGACAGCAUGUUUAAGUUUAUUCCAUUUUUAGAACGUCUUGGAAAGUAUGGAUUGAAGGCUCCAAAUGAAUUCAGAUAAAACCUCUUUCUCUUAACCUAUCCAAGUGGUUAGUCUUUCCUUUUAAUAGGUGAUAAAAUUCUAAGUAUGUCGCAACGCGUUCAGCCUUUUAAGUUUGUCGCAACGCGUUCAGCCUUUACUACCUGUCACCUUUAAUUUUUCUCAUGCCAAGUUUUUGUUCGUUAUUAACUUUUCUCUACUAUUAACCCACAUGUUGUGUAAACUUUGGAUAUCCUAUAAUCCUUAUAACCUUUUACUCUUCAUUUUCCUUUUGGUGGAUUUAUAAUUAGCAGUGGAAUAAAAAAUGUAUAAUAAUUUCUUUAGCACUCCAACUUUAUUAACAAAAGUUAUUUUAAAAAGUUAUUUUAGCUAUUCAUUUAUUUUUUUUUGCCUCUUCUAACUCUCCAUUUAAAAUUUCAAAUCACCUUAAAAUGGAUGAAAAAUUUAACAUUUGUUAAUUUUGCUAACAUAACAUACACUUAAAUUAUCACGUAAGAGUUUAAUUAAUUUUUUAGAAUUUUAAAAAUAUUAAAAAAAUAUUUUAUAUAAUUUUUAUAAUUUUUUAACAUUUUUAAUGAUUUUAAUUUUUAAAAUUAUUUUUUUAAUUUUAAAAAAUUUAUUAAAUAUUGAUGUGUCAUCCACAUGGCAACCGUGUAUGCAACAUUAGCAAAGUUAAAAAACGUUAAUUUUUUAAUUUAUUUUGGAGUAAUUUGGCAAAAAGAGCAAAUUUAAGGGCUAAAAAAAUAAAUUAAAUGAAAGAUUAAAAUGAUUUUUUUUAUAAAUUUGGAGAGUAAAAAAAUAUGCAUAAUCCAAUAAAAUCUAUUAGUUAUGUGUUUUUCUUUUUAAAAUUUUUUUAAUAUAAUUAAAAUACACGAGACAACAUUACAAUUUUGGUUAUGAAUUUUUUUUAUUCCACUGCAUAAAAUAUUAAUCUAAAUAUUAAUCCUUAGAUUAUGUGACAUUCAUGAUGUGAGUAAAAGAAAUAAAAAUAAUAUAAAACAAAGAUAUUGAAUUAACUUUUACAAUGCUUUGAAUCAAAGUUAUAUAGUCAAAGUGGUGCCUAAGAUAGCAGGCACUUCUUAAAGCACUAAAUGUAAAACAGAAAACACACAAGGUACAAAAAGUUAUUUAUGCAGUUUGGUUUUCUUACGUUUGCAUAGUCUCGUUCAGUGAAAAAUAUUCACUCUCUUUAAUAAUUACACAAAGUGAACCUACUCAAUCACACCUCAUGAUAAUUUCCCUCACCUUUGUACUUUUGAAGAAUUGAUAGUCUCACCACUAAAUUCACCCAUUGUGAAUUUAGCAAGUAAAACGACAACACAAGGUUUUACUAUCAAAAUGAUACUCUUAUGAUAAUAUUAUCACAAGAACAGGUUAAGUGCUUAACUCUCAGUACAUCCACCUAGGCAAGUCUAUCAAAUACAUAAAAUUUAAUUUUGAGACUUACUUACAAAUGAAGAUUUAAUUCAAUCCCAAUCCCAGUAAAACAAUAAUACAAUAGAAUAAUACAUUAUAAUAGCUAGGGGUGAGCAAAAUUCGAUUCGAUUCGAAAAAUAGAAAAAAAAUUUGAAUUUCGAAUUAUUUGAAUUGAGUUAAUCGAAUUAAUCGAAUCAAAUCAAUUUUUUUUUCAAAUUUCGAGUUCGAGUCGAGUUGAAUUCUCGAAUUUGAAUAACUCGAAUAAUUAGAAUAAACCAAAUAUAAACUAUAUUUUUAAUUUUUUUAAAUUUAAGCUUUUACUAAUUACUAAACCCAAUUACCCCUAAGCCCAAAUAUUUUAUUUUAUCCCAUUUUUUCCCCACCCCAACCCCAAGCCCGUUUGCCCAAAAAUUUAUUUUCCCAAAACCCAAUUCCUCCCCCAAGUCAAUUCAAACCCCCAUGCCAUGCCCCAGCAGCCAAUUCCAAUUAUUAUUUUUAUUCUUUUCAAACUCCUCUCCAUUUCCACAAAACCUUAAACUCUGUUUUUCUCAAAAAAACCCUAAAAUUAAAAUCCUUCUUCUUCUUCUAGUUCAUUCAAACCUUCAAAUUAAAAACUUUUACUUAUAUUUUUUUAUUAUAAUCUUGUUGUAUUGAUUUUGUUGUUUUUUGGGACUAAUGUUGUUUAUUUGGGUUGAUGUUGUGUUGUUUGUAUUUAUUCACUUAUUUAUUUUAAUUUUUUGUUGUAUGAUCAUGUCUAAAAACUUUAAAGAAUUUUUUUUUGAAAAAUUACAUAAAAAUAAAUAAUGCUAGAGUCAUUUUUUUUAAAACUUAACUCGAACAAAUAUAUUCAAUUCGAUUCGGUUUGAAUUCCAUCUCACUCGACUCGAUUUGAGAAAAUUUCAAAUAAAGUUAGGAUGAUAAAAUAAGAUUCGAAAACUCGAUUAACUCGAAAAUUUUUGAUUUGAUUCGAUUCGAUUCAAUACGAUCGAAUGCUCACCCCUAAUAAUAGCAUAAAGAAAAUAUAGAAUCUUGGCAACUCAUCCAAUAGAAUCACGAUCCAAUCCAAAGUUUAUGAUCCAAUGGAUUGUCUUGGGUAAGUUCGAAUCAAUCCAAUCACUAAUAUUAUAUUCCUAAAGUAAUAUGAGUGUUCCAUAAUUGACUAGAUAUCAACCAUACAAUUAGUAUAGCACAAAUCAUUGAUUCAAUAAAUUUGGCAACAUCUUAAAUAUGGAAAUUGUCUUCCACAAAUUUGGUAGGUAGGGGAGUGAGUACUCCCUUUGACACCACAUUGCCAAUUUCAUAUUUUUCAACAAUCUCUCCCUUUGGCAAUUGGUUGAACAAAACACAAAAUGCAGGAAACUUGAAUCAUCAAUCAACUAUAGCUCCCCCUUAGUAUAUUUUCCCAUUAGCUUAACUCAACUCAACUUCGGAAUAAUUAAGUAAUUAAUCAUCAAUGUCAGAGCAAUUUUACAUUUACAACUAACCAAAAAUAAUUAUAACUAAGCAAGUUAAGAAAACAAUGUAAAAAAGCAUCAAAGAAACGAAAUCCACAGAAGAAAACCUUUUAAAUUCAUCACCAUCAAAACAAUAUAAAAGUAGUAACAUAAAAUCAUCCAAAAAUUGUUAAAAAAUAAAGAAGUUCAAAACAUAAACCGAUAUUUUCCUUCUCCCAUUUACUCCAAUACUUCUCCCCCUUUUUGUUCUACAAGAUUGUCAACCAUCAGAAGCUUGCACUACAGCAAAUUAAGUUUUUAGCGGUGUUUUAAGUGGCUUUUGGAUCGAAAACAUCGCAAAGGUCAAACUUUUAACGAUGAUUGUAUUGAAAAACACCAGAAAUAUAUACUAUUAGUGGCGUUAACCAAAGAAUGCCGCAAUAAGUUGUUAUAUAGUGGUGUUUGUGGAAAUAGCGCCGCAAAUAGUAUAUAUUUAGCAGCAUUUUAUGCUACGUGCCAUAAAGGUACACCGAAUGUGAGCAGCGUUAGCGGCGUUUUUCCAUAAACGCUGCAAAAGGUAAAGCAAUAGUGGCAAUUUUACAAAAAGCCACAAAAGGUUAAAAACGAUAGCAACAUUUUUUCUCAUAAACGCCGCUAUUGGCCCAUAAAUGCUGCAAAUAUUUUUUAACUUUUUAUUGAAACGAUGCUGCUUUGACAGUUGGCCCCUAACCCUUAUUCCCCCCAAAUCAUUUUCCCCACUUCCCUAAUUUAAUUUUUUGUUUCCCAUACAUUUGCUGCUGGUCGUCAGUUCGAUUAUCCAUUUGCUGCACCGCUGUCGAUAGUGCAUUUGUCAUCGAUCUCUAUCUCAUUCGUCGGCAUUGCUCCGUCCAUAGCAAAAGGAUUUUCAAUCCAAACUUGCUUAAAAAGAAAGUGCAUUAUACUUUUCUACAUUUAUUUAUAGGAGAAAAUUCCCUUCAGAAAAUGUUUGGAUUCUAGUUCUCAUGGCAUUCAUUUUUUAUGCAGCUAAAUGAUAAGGAUCUUGCAAAAGAGUUGUAUAAGAAGUAUAGUGCGGUAGUUGAUACUUUUCUCUUCAUUCUCUUCAGAUUCCUAAUUCUAUGUUUCAGAUUGGUCAGAAUGCUUAUUAUCUGUUCUAUCAUAUUUUAACAGGUCCAUAGGCGAAAAAUACGUGCUUGGCAAAUGAUAUGUGUUUUGUCACAAUUUGUUGAUGAUGAUAUAGUUGGAGAAGUCAGACAGUGCUUGCAAAUAGCUCUCUAUGUAAGUAACUGUUGCUUCUUUUAAAAAAUUUGAUAGUUCUUUCUUAACUUAUUAUAGUUCGCUUAAGUUUCAUCAUAUGGUAAGUUUGAUAAGUUUUUUAGGAGAGAAUAACAAGUAAUUUUUUGGUUUUGAUAGAAAUUUCAUGAAAGGCUAUCUUAAAUAUUUUUCCUUUUCCUAAAUUACUGCUCUGUGUUCAAGUAUGUAAUGUUUAGUUUACUUUAUACUUCCAGAACACUAAGGGUCCGUUUGUGUGGAAGUAAAACAUUUUUUGAAAAAGGUUUGCAGCCUUUUCCAGUGUUUUUUUGGCUGAAAAUAUUUUCUUAAGGUAAAAUCAAUUACAAAACACGUGAAAAGAAGCCCUUAGUUUUGGAAAAUGUCUUACCCUUUCUAAUUCGACAAGACAUUUUCAAGAAAAUUAGAAGCCAACACCGAUCUUCCCUUUCCCUUUACCUUCCCCUUCCCUUUCCCCUAUCCUUGACACCUGAUCUUCUGCUUGCCGUCAGCCAACACCAAUUCUCGACACUAGACACUGGCGUUCAUCAAAGCUUUUCCCCAUCUUCACCUUUUGUUGUCAAAAUCUGCACUAGCGUUCAUCUUCCUCUCUCGAAGGUAAGAACGAAAAAAAAUUAAAAGCUGAAGUUCUACUCUUUUUUACAAACAAACUGGACCAUAAAACAAAAAUCCUCUAGUUCUGGUAAUGAAACAAUUGUUCACAAUUUGAUUUCUACAUUUUAAUUUUGUUUUUGCUUCAGUUUCAGCUCUUCCUUCAUCAUAUAUCCAACAGAUUCCUUGAGAAUGAAUUUUCUUCAUAUUAACUUAAAAAAGAGGAAAUCCCAAGCAGAAUGCACUAUACUCUUCAUUAUUGAUCUUAAAUUAUCGUUUUAAAUUAUUUAUGCCUAUUUUACUUUGUUUCACCUUUCUUCUUUCUCCUAUUUCUGUUUUAGCAAGUUGAUUUCUUUCUACUAUCAACUCCAUAAAAUGAAAACAAUGUCUGUUAUUUAAUACAUGAAAGAACAAUGUUAGUUGUACAACCCAAAUUCUGCACGGGCCCAAUAAAAUAAAAUAAACCCAACUACCUACCCAAAACCAAAACCCAUUAACCUAAACAAAUCAAACCCAAACCCAAUUUCAGCCUAACCCUAGCCCACUACUUAUCAGAAAACAAAAAAAGAAAAAAAACCCUAGCCUAGCUAGCCAUCGCCCCUAUGGCCGACUAACUUUUGUCACUACCUGCAGCACCACCUACUCCACUGCCACAGUCGCAUCACCACUGCCUACGCCACUUUCACCUGCAAAAUUAAAUGAAGAAGAGACAGAAAAUAAUAAAAAAACAUGUAAAAUGGCUUUAAAAAGCCAUGCCAAAUAACAUUUGUGAGAUUCGGCAAUCUUGAUCAAUACAAAGAGCACUAGAUUUUAAAACAAAACAAUAUCCAAAUACGAAAGAAACACAGCAAUAAAGCAGAUCGAAAACAAAUUCAUCGUGAAAAAGGUCGUGAUUUUUUUAGUUUACUUUUCCCUUUAUUUUUUCUUUUGAAUAUAUAUACAUAUUUCCUUUAUUUUUUUUCUUUUAAAAAAAACAGCAUAUAUAUUUAUAUAAAUAUAAAAAAACAAAAAAAAAAACCUUUUUUGGAAUUCCGGCCACCGCGUACGGUGGUCGGCGAUGGUGGUCGACGGC
Molecule: long non-coding RNA, 6294 nt
Filed under: Gossypium barbadense (sea-island cotton)
Lineage: Eukaryota; Viridiplantae; Streptophyta; Magnoliopsida; Malvales; Malvaceae
Description: long non-coding RNA (GBAR_LNC023566)
Source: RNAcentral